AAGCGAAUAUCAUUUGUACCGUAGACAGUAGGUGCCUCAUAUAGGCUUAAUUUCCUACCGAGGUGUUGAGACUCAUAAAUAAGUGCAUCUUGCACUUUUCGGGGGCCUCCAUGUCUGCGUUGACAUGGAGGUUUUUUGAUUGAACG
Non-coding RNA from Anoxybacillus flavithermus WK1, 146 nucleotides. The record is from Rfam. NCBI's taxonomy places the organism in Bacteria, Bacillati, Bacillota, Bacilli, Caryophanales, Anoxybacillaceae.